Molecule: non-coding RNA, 111 nt
Organism: Acanthosepion pharaonis
Lineage: Eukaryota; Metazoa; Mollusca; Cephalopoda; Sepiida; Sepiidae
Source: the annotation of a GenBank genome assembly
UGGCCACAUCACGUUGAAACACCUGUUCCCGUACGAGCUACGAAACUAAGCAACGUUGAGCCUGGACAGUACCAUAGAUAAGUGACCGCUUUGGAAUACCAAGUGCUGUAA